UGGUCUACAAACCCGGCUUGGAGAAUAAAGCAGCAGACGCCUUGUCUUGGAUGCCUCCUACAGUUAACCUCGGUAGCAUAACAGCUCCUACAUUGGUUGACAUUCUGGUGAUUAAAAAGGAAGUCGAAGCGGAUGAAAAGUUGAGCAAAAUAAUGGAAGAGCUACAAGCAAUGGAAGAAGGAACAGAGGGUAAAUUCUCCAUCCGAAAAGGUAUGUUAAGAUAUAAGGAUAAGUUUGUGCUGUCCAAAACAUCUACAUUGAUACCCACAAUCCUACAUACUUACCAUGAUUCGGUACUUGGAGACCAUUCUGGAUUUUUACGCACAUACAAACGACAAACUGGUGAGCUAUAUUGGGAAGGAAUGAAGGCGGAUGUUGAGAAGUAUUGUGAGGAAUGUGUAAUAUGUCAGAAGAACAACUCCCUAGCACUAUCCCCCACCGGACUGCUGCUGUCCCUGGACAGUCCAAACAAUAUUUGGAGCGAUAUAUCUAUGGACUUUAUCGAGGGCUUACCAAGAUCGAAUGGUUUCGAAGUCAUCUUUGUAGUGGUGGACAGAUUCAGCAAAUAUAUUUGUUAAGGAGAUUGUCCGACUUCAUGGCUU
This 602-nucleotide long non-coding RNA is filed under the name Cucumis sativus (cucumber). RNAcentral describes it as "long non-coding RNA (CSAT_LNC002383)". The record is from RNAcentral. Lineage: Eukaryota; Viridiplantae; Streptophyta; Magnoliopsida; Cucurbitales; Cucurbitaceae.